AUUGAACGCUGGCGGCAGGCCUAACACAUGCAAGUCGAACGGAAACAGGGAGCUGGCUCCUGGAUUGAGGGGCGGAGGGGUGCGGAAUGCCUAGGAAUGGGCCUGUGAGUGGUGGAUAACGUCCAGAAAUGGGCGCUAAUACCGCAUACGCCCUGAGUGACAAAAGGGGGGAUCGUCGGAUUUCACGCUAUCAGCUGCGGCUAGGUCGGAUUAGCUAGUUGGUGGGGGAAAGGCACACCAAGGCGACGAUCCGUAACUGGUCUGAGAGGAUGAUCAGUCACACUGGAACUGAGACACGGUCCAGACUCCUACGGGAGGCAGCAGUGGGGAAUAUUGGACAAUGGGCGAAAGCCUGAUCCAGCCAUGCCGCGUGUAUGAAGAAGGUCUUCGGAUUGUAAAGCACUUUAAGUUGGGAGGAAGGGCAGUAAGUUAAUACCUUGCUGUUUUGACGUUACCCACAGAAUAAGCACCGGCUAACUUCGUG
This 484-nucleotide ribosomal RNA is filed under the name uncultured bacterium. RNAcentral describes it as "partial 16S ribosomal RNA". It matches the Rfam family "Bacterial small subunit ribosomal RNA", at positions 30 to 507 of the family's 1533-position model. The record is from RNAcentral.